UACGGAGGAUGCGAGCGUUAUCCGGAUUUAUUGGGUUUAAAGGGUGCGUAGGCGGAAUGGUAAGUCAGUGGUGAAAGUCUGCAGCUCAACUGUAGUUGUGCCAUUGAUACUGUCAUUCUUGAGUGUAGAUGAGGUAGGCGGAAUGAGUAGUGUAGCGGUGAAAUGCAUAGAUAUUACUCAGAACACCGAUUGCGAAGGCAGCUUACUAAACUAUAACUGACGCUGAUGCACGAAAGCGUGGGUAUCAAACAGGAUUAGAUACCCUGGUAGUCCACGCUGUAAACGAUGAUUACUGGUUGUUUGCGAUACACCGUAAGCGACUGAGCAAAAGCAUUAAGUAAUCCACCUGGGGAGUACGUUGGCAACAAUGAA
This 372-nucleotide ribosomal RNA is filed under the name uncultured bacterium. RNAcentral's name for it is "bacterial SSU rRNA". It matches the Rfam family "Bacterial small subunit ribosomal RNA", at positions 524 to 898 of the family's 1533-position model. The record is from RNAcentral.